This 862-nucleotide ribosomal RNA is filed under the name Fusarium concolor. Its description in RNAcentral is "LSU rRNA". It matches the Rfam family "Eukaryotic large subunit ribosomal RNA", at positions 74 to 966 of the family's 3401-position model. Lineage: Eukaryota; Fungi; Ascomycota; Sordariomycetes; Hypocreales; Nectriaceae. The record is from RNAcentral.
AUUGCCCUAGUAACGGCGAGUGAAGCGGCAACAGCUCAAAUUUGAAAUCUGGCUCUCGGGCCCGAGUUGUAAUUUGUAGAGGAUGCUUUUGAUGCGGUGCCUUCCGAGUUCCCUGGAACGGGACGCCAUAGAGGGUGAGAGCCCCGUCUGGUUGGAUGCCAAAUCUCUGUAAAGCUCCUUCAACGAGUCGAGUAGUUUGGGAAUGCUGCUCUAAAUGGGAGGUAUAUGUCUUCUAAAGCUAAAUACCGGCCAGAGACCGAUAGCGCACAAGUAGAGUGAUCGAAAGAUGAAAAGCACUUUGAAAAGAGAGUUAAAAAGUACGUGAAAUUGUUGAAAGGGAAGCGUUUAUGACCAGACUUGGGCUUGUUUAAUCAUCCGGGCUUCUGCCCGGUGCACUUGUUCAGCUCAGGCCAGCAUCAGUUUUCCCCGGGGGAUAAAGGCGGCGGGAAUGUGGCUCUCUUCGGGGAGUGUUAUAGCCCACCGUGUAAUACCCUGGGGGGGACUGAGGUUCGCGCAUCUGCAAGGAUGCUGGCGUAAUGGUCAUCAACGACCCGUCUUGAAACACGGACCAAGGAGUCGUCUUCGUAUGCGAGUGUUCGGGUGUCAAACCCCUACGCGUAAUGAAAGUGAACGCAGGUGAGAGCUUCGGCGCAUCAUCGACCGAUCCUGAUGUUCUCGGAUGGAUUUGAGUAAGAGCAUACGGGGCCGGACCCGAAAGAAGGUGAACUAUGCCUGUAUAGGGUGAAGCCAGAGGAAACUCUGGUGGAGGCUCGCAGCGGUUCUGACGUGCAAAUCGAUCGUCAAAUAUGGGCAUGGGGGCGAAAGACUAAUCGAACCUUCUAGUAGCUGGUUUCCGCCGAUU